CGAGCCGACCAGACGGCCGCUCGCGCCCUCGGGCGCGGGAGGAAAGUCCGAGCUGCACAGGGCAGGGUGCUGGAUAACGUCCAGUGGAGGCGACUCCAAGGAAAGUGCCACAGAAAACAAACCGCCGCGCGGAGCGCGGUAAGGGUGAAACGGUGCGGUAAGAGCGCACCAGAAGCCAGGUGACUGGCUUGCUUGGCAAACCCCACCCGCAGCAAGACCGAAUAGGGGAAGGAUGAGGUGGCCCGCCGACUUCCCGGGUUGGUCGCUAGAGGCCGCGGGUAACCGCGGUCCCAGAUAAAUGGCCGUCCUCGACAGAACUCGGCUUAUCGGUCGACUCGCCAC
RNAcentral lists this RNase P RNA (342 nucleotides) under Actinomycetes bacterium. Its description in RNAcentral is "RNase P RNA component class A". It matches the Rfam family "Bacterial RNase P class A". From Rfam's summary of the family: Ribonuclease P (RNase P) is a ubiquitous endoribonuclease, found in archaea, bacteria and eukarya as well as chloroplasts and mitochondria. Its best characterised activity is the generation of mature 5'-ends of tRNAs by cleaving the 5'-leader elements of precursor-tRNAs. Cellular RNase Ps are ribonucleoproteins. Lineage: Bacteria; Bacillati; Actinomycetota; Actinomycetes. The record is from RNAcentral.